This 1293-nucleotide long non-coding RNA is filed under the name Pan troglodytes (chimpanzee). RNAcentral describes it as "lincRNA". The record is from RNAcentral. Lineage: Eukaryota; Metazoa; Chordata; Mammalia; Primates; Hominidae.
GGCGGAGAAGCAGAGGAGAGGGACGCUGGAAGCACGUUUGGCCCGGGACAGAAAUCUGGAGAGCUUGGCUACCUCCAUCCUCCUCAGGCCGGAGCAGGCUUCCUGAGAGAGUCCAGGUCGUAGGAGUUUUACGACUUAGAAAAGCGGGCUGCAGAUUCCUUCCUGGGUGUUUGGUUCAAGCCUUGGCUCCGGCCUUACUCUCAGUCUUCCCGGGAGUUCGUGGGAUUUGGACCUUAGAUUAUUAGUAUUAUUUUGAGGGCCUCCUGUGUGUAAGCACUGGUUGUGCGCAGAUGGCUGUGCAGAGGGCCAUGAGGUAGAGGCUGGGGAAAUGAGGGCUUGGAGGUGCUUGAGGUAUGGUCUUUACCUACGUGAAAUGUUGGAGGUUGAGAUGAAAACUCUUGCUUUGAAUUCUUCAUGGAGGACAUCAUUUCAAUCCUGAAUCUGGCUCAAUUCUAUUAUUCACUUAUUACUGUAUUAAAAACGUUUAAUUGGCCAGGCACAGUGGUUCACGCCUGUAAUCCCAGCACUUUGGGAGGCCAAGGCAGGCGGAUCACUUGAGGUCAGGAGUUCGACACCAGCCUGGCCAACAUGGCAAAACCCCGCCUCUACUAAAAAUACAAAAAUUAGCCAGGCGUGGUGGCACACACCUGUAAUCACAGCUACUUAGGAGGCGAGGUGGCAGAAUUGUUUGAACCCAGGAGGUGGAGGUUGCAGUGAGCCGAGAUCACACCACUGCACUCAAGCCUUGGCAUCAGAGUGAGACUCUGUCUCAGUAAAAAAAAAUAAAUAAAUAAAAAUGUUUAAUUAACCAUGAUAUUUGCUUUGGUAAAACCUUUGAGGUUUAACGAGAAUUUUAAAAUUCAUUAUACUUUUCUUAUGGCAUAUAAAAGUUUUAAUAUUUUUUUAUUGUCUCAACUAACAUCAUAAAUGUCUUAAUGUUAAAAUCCAUGGGAUAUUCUAUUUAAAAUUUUAGCUUUAUCACCUUUGUGCUAUCAGAGAAUGUGCUUUGAACUGGUAAAAUGAGUUAAAGUAUUGGAAAACACUUAUGUCAGCAGAGGCUCUUAAAAAUCAUUUUCAUCCUUCCUCUUCUAGUGAUGAUUUUUUUUUAACCCAUGUUUUCACCAGUCUGCCAAUCCAAUGGCAUAAAUGCUCCUACACAGGCAACUUAAGUGUUUCUUAAGUUGAUGCAAGGUAUUUUGCAUGAGGCUGAAUUCUUGUUGUUGGAGCAGAGGAUUUUUGUUCCAACUACUGAAUUGGCAAAAUGUUAAUAUAAAAACACCUCAAAAAGUCAAA